CCGCUGAACUUAAGCAUAUCAAUAAGCGGAGGAAAAGAAACCAACAGGGAUUGCCCUAGUAACGGCGAGUGAAGCGGCAACAGCUCAAAUUUGAAACCUGGCGCUUGCGUCCGGAUUGUAAUUUGUAGAGGAUGCUUCUGGGCAGCGGCCGUUCUAAGUUCCUUGGAACAGGACGUCAUAGAGGGUGAGAAUCCCGUAUGUGACCGGCGCGCACCCUCCACGUAGCUCCUUCGACGAGUCGAGUUGUUUGGGAAUGCAGCUCUAAAUGGGAGGUAAAUUUCUUCUAAAGCUAAAUAUUGGCCAGAGACCGAUAGCGCACAAGUAGAGUGAUCGAAAGAUGAAAAGCACUUUGGAAAGAGAGUUAAAAAGCACGUGAAAUUGUUGAAAGGGAAGCGCUUCCAACCAGACUCCGCGGCGGUGUUCCGCCGGUCUUCUGACCGGUCCACUCGCCGCCGUGGGGCCAACAUCGUCUGGGGCCGCCGGAUAAGACCGGAGGAAUGUAGCUCAUUGAGUGUUAUAGCCUCCGGUGAUGCGGCGCGUCCCGGGCGAGGUCCGCGCUUCGGCAAGGAUGUUGGCGUAAUGGUUGGCAGCGGCCCGUCUUGAAACACGGACCAAGGAGUCUAACAUCUAUGCGAGUGUUCGGGUGUCAAACCCCUACGCGCAAUGAAAGUGAACGGAGGUGGGAGCUUCGGCGCACCAUCGACCGAUCCUGAUGUCCUCGGAUGGAUUUGAGUAAGAGCAUAGCUGUUGGGACCCGAAAGAUGGUGAACUAUGCCUGAAUAGGGUGAAGCCAGAGGAAACUCUGGUGGAGGCUCGCAGCGGUUCUGACGUGCAAAUCGAUCGUCAAAUUUGGGUAUAGGGGCGAAAGACUAAUCGAACCAUCUAGUAGCUGGUUCCUGCCGA
RNAcentral lists this ribosomal RNA (903 nucleotides) under Zasmidium sp. ZJUM 114. RNAcentral's name for it is "eukaryotic LSU rRNA". It matches the Rfam family "Eukaryotic large subunit ribosomal RNA", at positions 25 to 964 of the family's 3401-position model. The record is from RNAcentral. RNAcentral also lists the same sequence under 7 other names. Lineage: Eukaryota; Fungi; Ascomycota; Dothideomycetes; Mycosphaerellales; Mycosphaerellaceae.